AUUAUAAUAUAUUCUUUAUAAAAUGAGUUCCCGUGCGAUAUCGCACGGGCUCUUUUCCUAGUGGAAUUAAGAGAAGAAAUAAAUUAUAAACCAAUGCUUUUACAAUGUGACAGUUGGAACAAUAAUUGGGGGUGAAUAUUUCAAAUUGAAGAGUCAGGCAUCUUCUCCAACUUCAUGUAGCACUGGGAUAAUUUGCAUAAUUAUGUUACACAAUUAGAAAAUGAUGCAGAGAAUAUUUGAAUAUAGGAAAAACCAUUUAAAUCUUAAAACAAUAGAAGUAAUUAUCCUAUUAAUAAAUAAUAAUAAAAUUUGAAAUAUAUCCAAAUAUUCUCUGCAUUAUCAGAAAACAUGAAUGAAACAAAUGGAAAACCAAUGGUAACACUAUACAGAACAUCUGUAUCUAAAAUCUAGUUCGGUCACGCUAAACUGGAAUGUAACUAACGUGCUGUCAAGGCUGAAUUAGAAGAAACAAAUCCAGACCUUCAUAAAAGAAAAAGGUCCAAACUAAUAAUGUCUGAAUAUAUUUCCUCAGCACCCACGGCAUCUCGUUAUCGGCUCAUGCCAGAUGGCCAUACUACGACCACUAAUUUGUUCAUCAUCACCCUCUUUUUUUUUGAAUCAACUAAAAAAUUUGGACCAUUUCUUGAUUUGUGCAUGUCAUCCUUCGGCAGGGGCCAUGCUAACCUUCUCUAUAUAGUUUCAAUUUUAUCGGAUGUCCUCGAAGGAACACCCUCCUUAUUCUCUCAUUUCCUCUUCUUCUCCUCCUCCUCUGAUCAGCAUCAGCAUCAGCUCAUGAGAUUUACUUGGAAGCAAAACCUAAGAUAUUACAUAGGGUUUCUAGAAACCUUAGCUUCCGGCGCAAGAAAGGAAGCUGCAAAAGCUAGGACCAACCCGGGUCUUGUAGUCAUCUCACGUUUCGGUGUUGCUGGAUUUGUUAACAGUAACGUCGCUAUUGAGUAGUUCGUGUGUUUCGGUGUCGGAGAGAAACAACGAUCGCUAGAAGCUUUGAGAGAGAUACAGAAACAGAGACAAGGAAAUUAAUAAUUAGGUUUUUUUAUUUAUUUAGGUUUAAUACAUUUGAAUGGGGAACACAUGCGUGGGUCCGAAGCUAAACGCUAAUGGAUUUAAUUAACAGGCAACAGGGAUGAGAACAUCAGGAAGAAGAGCGUUAACGGCCGCAAUGAAGACGCUUCCUCCGCCUUGGAUCCAGCUCCACCAGCAGUACCAACACCUAGCGCACCACCUCCUCCGGUGAAAAUGGCUGAGGAAGAAGCACCUAAAAGUAUCCUAGAGAGAAAUAACAACGACGUGAGUCCCAAGCCGAAGAAAAAGGCGCACAUGAAACGGAUGGGGGAGGAAGUUAGGUCAAGGACGAUUCGGGACAAGAUUUCUUUGCGUGGAGAAGAAGUCAGGUCAAGAGGUCGCUUGCAAAACGAUCGCUAAGAGGAAACUGACGACCCCUGUUGACGUUGAAGAUGUAAGAAGAGAGAUUCAGAUAGUGCAUCACUUGUCUGAGCACCCUAACGUGAUUCAGAUCGUUGGUGCGUAUGAAGACGCAGUAGCUAUUCAUGUCGUGAUGGAGAUUUGUGCAGGGGUUUUGAAGAAGCAACACUCAAGACUAUUGACUUUGGUCUCUCUGUCUUCUUUAAACCAGGAGAAACAUUCACUCAUGUUGUUGGGGGAGACCUUACUAAGUGGCGUCCCUACGUUGUGGGAUGAAACGGAACAAGGCAUCUCUGAGCAAGUUUUAAAAGGUGACAUUUGACUUUUGUAUCAGAACCAUGGCCUAGUGUAUCAAAAAGCGCUCAUAAGAUUUGGUUCCUCAGAUGCUGAUCAGUGACCCUAAAGAAGCGAAUCGCAGUUCAUGAAGUUCUCUGUUAGUGUUCUUUUGCUUUCCAAACAUGUUCCAUCUGACUAGAAACAGGCGGAUAUAGAUAACAGUGGGACUAUAGACUAUAUAUGGAGAGUUUUAUAGCAGCGAUGGUGCAUUUAAACAAAAAUAGAGAAACAAGACCUUUUGUUCACAUGCUUAAUCUUACUUUGAUAAAGAUGAAAGUGGUUAUAUAAACUAGAGGCGAGCUUGCAAGCAAUUCGGCUUAGCGGAUUUCAUUUAAACGACAUUCUACGUGAAGUUAAUGAGGACAAUGUAAGUUACAACCUCCUCUUGCUUACUUGGAAGCACAAGUGAGUCCAUUCAUAUUCAAGUUUUGAAAUCCAUAAACGAAGCUAAGAGAUGAGAGAGCUUGUGGACAAACUUUUUUUCCUUCUUUCAAAGAGUUGUCAUAUCUAAUAAGAGAAA
Long non-coding RNA from Brassica napus (rape), 2299 nucleotides. RefSeq lists it as uncharacterized. NCBI's taxonomy places the organism in Eukaryota, Viridiplantae, Streptophyta, Magnoliopsida, Brassicales, Brassicaceae. The transcript has 4 exons. The record is from RefSeq and is a predicted model, not a curated record.